CACCGUUGGUAGUGGGCAGGUUCCAGAGCAGGGGCCUGAGGGACCAGCGUAGGUUAGGGCUGACCUGUGAAGGCUAAGAGAAGGACAUAAGGAGGAAGGAGCUGGGGGUGCCUGUUCUUCCUCUUUGGUCUCAGGAAGAGGAGGUUGAGGUGAGUUGACCAGGAAAUCUUUGAAGUUUCCUGGUUGAGAGUUCUGGAGUGGACAACUGAAAAUAGGGAAGAGGGUGGGAUUUGUUUCACAGCCUUUAGAAAAAUUGGGAUUUUCCCUCAAGGUCAUGAAGGUUUUCACAUAAGGGACCUCUGACCAUUUGCGGUGGCACCGGCAGUAGAGGUCGAGCUGGAGUAUGGUAUUCAUAUUUAAGCUCCCCCACACUGGCCAGGCUUCCUGCCCUUCUAGGUUAUAUUUUGGCCAAACUUUAUUGCAAAGGAAAAUCAGUCUUUUUUGUUUUACAGUGUGGAGAUCAAACUUAUCCCAGUUUUGAAGGAUGCAUCCAAGAGGGGAAUCCCAGGGUACAGAGAUCUUGUUACCCAUCUGAAAGAGAAGACAGUUGGCCCCUUGCUGGCUGGACUCGCCCAACCCUGGCUCCCGCCCUGUGCCACGCAGUCUCCUGCGGACCCGGAAGCAGAUCGCCGGAAUCAAAGUUGCUCCACCACGUGUGAGUUUCCCUCUGUCUACAUUAACAUUAAAUUUGGGGUCUGGGCGCUGUGGCUCACAUCUAUAAUCCCAGCAUUUCGGGAGGCGAAGGUGAGCGGAUCACUUGAGGUCAGGAGUUCAAGACCAGCCUGGUCAACAGGGCGAAACCCGUUGCUUUUAAAAAUACAAAAAUGCUCCGGGCGUGAUGGCCUGCGCUUUUAAUCCAGCUACUCGGGAGGCUGAGGCAGGAGAAUCACUUGAACCCGGGCGGCGGCGGUUGCAGUGAGCCUAAAUUUCACCCCUACGCUGCAGCCUGGGCGACAGCGGGAGUUUGUCUGAAAAAAAAAAAAAAAAGUAGAGAAGAGGCCGACCUCAAAGAAAUGGACAGCAUGAUAGGGAGCGGGGCAGCAAAGGCGGAGGCGCCCCAGAGUCGGAGAGAAGGAGUGAUUUCGAGCCAGGGCAGA
Long non-coding RNA from Sapajus apella (tufted capuchin), 1097 nucleotides. RefSeq lists it as uncharacterized. NCBI's taxonomy places the organism in Eukaryota, Metazoa, Chordata, Mammalia, Primates, Cebidae. The record is from RefSeq and is a predicted model, not a curated record. The transcript is spliced from 2 exons.